RNAcentral lists this small RNA (974 nucleotides) under Pan troglodytes (chimpanzee). RNAcentral's name for it is "processed transcript". Lineage: Eukaryota; Metazoa; Chordata; Mammalia; Primates; Hominidae. The record is from RNAcentral.
GAGGGGGUGGGGCUUUGCCCGGACAGAGGAUCUCCUCGCUGGCCUACUCUCUCCUCCCGUACGGCGCCGGAAUCCCAGCUCCACUUACCAGGCCGCGGCUACCCUGCCGUCCCCCCCGACUCCCGCCACCCCGCUCUCCCAGGCUCUUCAGGAUCCAAGUCUGUAGGCCCUUUAAGGGGUCUAAUUGCCGUUUGCGGGGCCCUGGGACUUUGAUCCCAGACAGCGAGGAUCCGGAUGGCUUCCGUGCGGAUCCGAGAGGCCAAGGAGGGAGACUGUGGAGAUAUCCUGAGGCUGAUUCGGGUGAAGACUGCGGGCCGGAGCUAGCCGAAUUCGAAAAACUCUCGGAUCAGGUGAAGAUCAGUGAAGAAGCCCUGAGAGCAGAUGGCUUUGGAGACAAUCCUUUCUAUCACUGUUUGGUAGCAGAGAUUCUUCCAGCGCCCGGGAAGCUACUGGGGCCCUGCGUGGUGGGCUAUGGGAUAUACUAUUUCAUCUACAGUACAUGGAAGGGACGCACCAUUUAUCUGGAGGAUGUCUAUGUGAUGCCGGAAUAUCGGGGUCAAGGGAUUGGUUCCAAAAUAAUCAAAAAGGUGGCUGAGGUGGCCUUGGAUAAGGGCUGCUCCCAAUUCCGCCUGGCCGUCCUGGACUGGAACCAGAGGGCCAUGGACUUGUACAAGGCCCUAGGAGCCCAAGAUCUGACGGAAGCUGAGGGCUGGCACUUCUUCUGCUUUCAAGGAGAGGCAACGAGAAAGUUGGCAGGAAAGUGACGCCAUCCCUAGGAGGAUCUCUCUCUUGAGUUUCUCCUUCCCCAUCAGCUGAAGCACUCUUCAGAGACUACGUCCACAGACACUGAUGCUGAGGCCUCCCUGGAGGAAGGAGGGUUGGGGGUGCCUAUCCUCAAGUAUUGGAAGAGCAGAAUUGAGGGAGAGACCUUUCUUCCUUGUUGAGGGUGAAAAAUAAAUAAGAAUUACAUGUCC